UACGAAGGGAGCUAGCGUUGUUCGGAAUCACUGGGCGUAAAGCGCACGUAGGUGGUUUGUCGCGUUGUUCGUGAAAACUCACAGCUUAACUGUGGGCGUGCGGGCGAUACGGGCAGACUGGAGUACUGCAGGGGAGACUGGAAUUCCUGGUGUAGCGGUGGAAUGCGCAGAUAUCAGGAGGAACACCGGUGGCGAAGGCGGGUCUCUGGGCAGUAACUGACGCUGAGGAGCGAAAGCGUGGGGAGCGAACAGG
RNAcentral lists this ribosomal RNA (253 nucleotides) under uncultured bacterium. Its description in RNAcentral is "partial 16S ribosomal RNA". It matches the Rfam family "Bacterial small subunit ribosomal RNA", at positions 524 to 776 of the family's 1533-position model. The record is from RNAcentral.